GCCCACAAAAAAAACUAUACAAAGAUGCCAUCCCUCCAAACAAAUCCAAACUCUCAGAAAUUUGCAGAGAUUUGAUCUCUCCAAACAGAAUAUCUCUAGAUAGGACCAAAAUCUCAUGGUCGCAUGCAUAUAAAAAACCUCUCGGCAUCCGAACAACCUUGUACAUCAUCUUCCUCCAUUGAACAACACUUUAAGGUCAACUUCCUCCAACCAGUGGCACUUCGGCAUUGGGCACCAGCCGGCUCCGUUGAACAACUAGAUCACCUCCAGUAUGUACGAUCUGCAUGAAAUUAUAGAUCAGACCUAUUAAUGGAUAAUGAGAGGAUGUAGCCCACUAUACCCCCACAAAAAAAUGAAAAACAAAUGGAGACCCUCAAUUACUCUGGGCAGUGCUAAACUAAAAUAUUAUUCUAGCGUGAUCCUCUACUAUAUUUUGGGUUGUGGGAUGGCUUCAAUAGGCCUCAAAUCCAUUAAGAAGCACAUGACAGUGCAGUAUGGUAAUAACUUGGAGUUUGUAGAUUAGAUAAUGGUUCACAUAAUACUUUGCAUGAGUACCUCAGUAAUUUUGUCUAAUAAAGUACUCCCUCCGUUCCAAAAUAGAUGACCCAACUUUGUACUAACUUUAGUACAAAGUUGGGUCAUCCAUUUUGGAACGGAGGGAGGACCUCAUUAAUCAGGUAGAGAUUGCUUCGGUCGGCUUCUACUAGAAAAUACUCACGAUAUUUGUGUAUUCACAUGAUGAUAAAAACUUAAGUUCCUCUUUAUCAUUAAAGAUUUCUGCAAAUCACUAGUCUCGAAAAUUGAUCUCCUUUACUUGUACGACCAAAAAAAUAUUUAUAGGGUGAGAAGUAAUAAAAAUAAUGAAUAUUCAUAAACUUGAGCAUUAAUCUUUAAUAGUAGCACACCCACCAUCAAGCGGGGCAGCUGGUCAAGGUCUCAAGCGGCCGAGAAGGGUACUCCCCAUGUCCAAUGACCAGCUGGAGCACCGCCAUGAUAUUUAUCGUCGUCCAUCGCCACAGCAAAGCACGAUCUCUAGGUCCACCACUGUUUGUAAUAAUAUUAUAAUUAGCUUUAUUUGAUUUUUUCAAGAAAACACAAAAGAGCUUGCAUUUCAUUGGAUUGAAAAGAGAGCUUUACCUUUAUAUUUGCACUCUCUAAUGUGCAGGAAUCAACAAUGAAAAGAAAAGAUGGGCCACAUAACAAGGAAGGUUAGAAACCUGCCAAGAUGGUUAAAACAAAACAUAUAUGUAAUCCAACAAGGUGAUCCGUUACUAAUGAUGAAUAUUUUGUGUGUGCUAUCACAACAAAAUUAAAACAAAAAAUGCAACAGUUCCAGUUAGGCGUUGGAGGUUCCUAAUUGAUUUUAGCUUCAACGAUAAAACGUAUUUUAAAUUGUUAUCUUAUUGAUGCAAUUCAAGACAAUCAACAAAAAUGGCAAGAUUGGAAGGAGAAUGGAACUUCAAGACAAGAAAAAGAUACAACCUCCAAUCAUAAAUGGAGAUGUGCC
This 1507-nucleotide long non-coding RNA is filed under the name Triticum aestivum (bread wheat). RNAcentral's name for it is "long non-coding RNA (TAES_LNC001362)". The record is from RNAcentral. Lineage: Eukaryota; Viridiplantae; Streptophyta; Magnoliopsida; Poales; Poaceae.